Molecule: ribosomal RNA, 247 nt
Filed under: uncultured bacterium
Lineage: Bacteria
Description: partial 16S ribosomal RNA
Rfam family: Bacterial small subunit ribosomal RNA
Source: RNAcentral
AUACGUAGGAUGCAAGCGUUGUUCGGAAUUACUGGGCGUAAAGAGUACGUAGGCGGCAAUGAUAGUCUGAUAUUAAAGACUGGGGCUUAACCUCAGGAGUGUAUCGGAAACUUCAUAGCUAGAGGACAGUAGAGGAAGUUGGAAUUCCCAGUGUAGCGGUGAAAUGCGUAGAUAUUGGGAGGAACACCAGUGGCGAAAGCGAACUUCUGGGCUGUUACUGACGCUGAGGUACGAAAGUGUGGGGAGC